Molecule: long non-coding RNA, 664 nt
Organism: Solanum lycopersicum (tomato)
Lineage: Eukaryota; Viridiplantae; Streptophyta; Magnoliopsida; Solanales; Solanaceae
Source: RefSeq, a predicted model, not a curated record
CCGUUCAUUUAAUUAAUUAAAUACUAAAUCAAAUCCUAGCCCCUUAUCUCUUCUAAAAUCAAUGGUCCAGAUUUAAUCUAUCUUUUCUACCAAAGAGACAUAAACCUAAAAAUUUUAUUUUAUUCCUCCCUCACCCAUAUCUCCAGCCGCCUCUCUCUCCCUCCAUUCUUUCCGGUGGUUAAUCACCACCUCCAAGUGGUGGCAGCCGCCCCUCUUCCCCUCUCCGUCUCCCGCCCCCUAUCUUCUCCCUCUCGCCCCUCUUCUCGUCUCCCUCCUCUUCUCUCUUCUUUUGGAGGCAGCAGCAACCGCCGAAAGCAACAACUCCGGUCAGCGAACUCCAUCAAGCGUCUUUGAAGUUUUAAGACGGAUCUAUGAUAGAUUUGUCCGGGAGGUAAGGGUGCCAAAAGAAAGGACUCAAAAAGGUCAAGGUGUCAAAUAGGGUGACCAAGGAAUUCAGUUAAGGCUCAAUGGGAUUGACUAAGAUCAAUGUUAAUGAAAGAGAGUUUGGGUAAAGUGACUUAAUCAAAGAGAGUCGGUUCAUCUUCUAAGUAGGGAUGGACACGAUACGAUACAAUACAUAUCUGAAUUUGAUAUUGUAACUUCAAUAUUUGAUUUUUACAAUAUUUAUACAAUUAUCAUAUCAAUUUAAUUUAUUUUGGUACGA